CCGCAUCCCGACACCAAUGUCGGCGUCAACGCCUCUGCUCCAUGCGAUCUCCGCCGUCAAACGUCUAGGGCAACUUGAUGCGGCCGGAUCCGUUCCAUUUAUAGCCAGUCGGUUGCACCGCUCCCCCUUCCCCCUUCUCCGCCUCAGAUCCUUCUCCUCCCGUGCCGCCGGGACUGCUGCUCCGAUGGGCAAGGAGAUCCCACUCGCCGCCGAUGCCGGCAUGGACGCCGUCCAGCGCCGCCUCAUGUUUGAAGACGAGUGCAUUUUGGUGGAUGAGCAUGAUGCUGUUGUUGG
Molecule: unclassified non-coding RNA, 294 nt
Filed under: Hevea brasiliensis (rubber tree)
Lineage: Eukaryota; Viridiplantae; Streptophyta; Magnoliopsida; Malpighiales; Euphorbiaceae
Source: RNAcentral